GACGAACGCUGGCGGCGUGCUUAACACAUGCAAGUCGAACGGAAAGGCCCCCAUCUUGGUGGGGGUGCUCGAGUGGCGAACGGGUGAGUAACACGUGGGUGAUCUGCCCUGUACUUCGGGAUAAGCUUGGGAAACUGGGUCUAAUACCGGAUAGGACCAUGGUUUAGUGUCUCAUGGUGGAAAGAUUAUUGUUUUGGUGCAGGAUGAGCUCGCGGCCUAUCAGCUUGUUGGUGGGGUAAUGGCCUACCAAGGCGUCGACGGGUAGCCGGCCUGAGAGGGUGGACGGCCACAUUGGGACUGAGAUACGGCCCAGACUCCUACGGGAGGCAGCAGUGGGGAAUAUUGCACAAUGGGCGCAAGCCUGAUGCAGCGACGCCGCGUGGGGGAUGACGGCCUUCGGGUUGUAAACUCCUUUCGUUAGGGACGAAGCCGCACUUUUUUGGGUGUGGUGACGGUACUUUUGUGAAGAAGCACCGGCUAACUACGUG
RNAcentral lists this ribosomal RNA (488 nucleotides) under uncultured bacterium. Its description in RNAcentral is "partial 16S ribosomal RNA". It matches the Rfam family "Bacterial small subunit ribosomal RNA", at positions 28 to 507 of the family's 1533-position model. The record is from RNAcentral.